RNAcentral lists this ribosomal RNA (344 nucleotides) under Eucephalobus striatus. Its description in RNAcentral is "SSU rRNA". It matches the Rfam family "Eukaryotic small subunit ribosomal RNA", at positions 594 to 945 of the family's 1831-position model. Lineage: Eukaryota; Metazoa; Nematoda; Chromadorea; Rhabditida; Cephalobidae. The record is from RNAcentral.
AAAGUGCAUAGAAUUAUUGCUGCGGUUAAAAAGCUCGUAGUUGGAUCUGUGCCAUAGGACUGGGUCUACCUUCGGGUCAGUACUCAGCUCCUAGGCUUUUUGACGGUUUUCCCGUCGUAGCCUUCACUGGUUGCGGCGGGUGGCUGUCGAGUUUACUUUGAGAAAAUCAGAGUGCUCAACACAGGCGUCUAGCUUGAAUGAUUGUGCAUGGAAUAAUAGAAAAGGAUUUCGGUCCUCUUUUAUUGGUUUUGUGGACUGAGAUAAUGGUUAACAGGGACAAACGGGGGCAUUCGUAUCGAUGCGUGAGAGGUGAAAUUCUUGGACCGUAUCGAGACGCCCUACUG